UGGGGAAUAUUGGACAAUGGGCGCAAGCCUGAUCCAGCCAUGCCGCGUGAGUGAUGAAGGCCCUAGGGUUGUAAAGCUCUUUCACCGGUGAAGAUAAUGACGGUAACCGGAGAAGAAGCCCCGGCUAACUUCGUGCCAGCAGCCGCGGUAAUACGAAGGGGGCUAGCGUUGUUCGGAUUUACUGGGCGUAAAGCGCACGUAGGCGGACUAUUAAGUCAGGGGUGAAAUCCCGGGGCUCAACCCCGGAACUGCCUUUGAUACUGGUAGUCUUGAGUUCGAGAGAGGUGAGUGGAAUUCCGAGUGUAGAGGUGAAAUUCGUAGAUAUUCGGAGGAACACCAGUGGCGAAGACGGCUCACUGGCUCGAUACUGACGCUGAGGUGCGAAAGCGUGGGGAGCAAACAGG
This 404-nucleotide ribosomal RNA is filed under the name Actinomycetes bacterium. RNAcentral describes it as "Actinobacteria bacterium partial 16S ribosomal RNA". It matches the Rfam family "Bacterial small subunit ribosomal RNA", at positions 355 to 776 of the family's 1533-position model. Lineage: Bacteria; Bacillati; Actinomycetota; Actinomycetes. The record is from RNAcentral.